UAACUUAAGCAUAUCAAUAAGCGGAGGAAAAGAAACUAACAAGGAUUCCCCUAGUAACUGCGAGUGAAGCGGGAAAAGCUCAAAUUUAAAAUCUGGCAGUCUUUGGCUGUCCGAGUUGUAAUCUGGAGAAGCGUUUUCCGCGCUGGACCGUGUACAAGUCUCUUGGAAUAGAGCGUCAUAGAGGGUGAGAAUCCCGUCUUUGACACGGACUACCAGUGCUUUGUGAUACGCUCUCAAAGAGUCGAGUUGUUUGGGAAUGCAGCUCAAAAUGGGUGGUAAAUUCCAUCUAAAGCUAAAUAUUGGCGAGAGACCGAUAGCGAACAAGUACCGUGAGGGAAAGAUGAAAAGCACUUUGGAAAGAGAGUUAAACAGUACGUGAAAUUGCUGAAAGGGAAGCGUUUGAAGUCAGUCGCGUUGUUCAGAACUCAACCUGGUUUUACUUGGUGCACUUUCUGGAUGACGGGCCAACAUCAGUUUUGACUGUCGGAAAAAAGCCUUUGGAAUGUGGCACCUCCGGGUGUGUUAUAGCCUUUGGUUGUAUACGAUGGUUGGGACUGAGGACCGCAGCACGCCUUUUGGCCGGGGUUCGCCCACGUACGUGCUUAGGAUGUUGGCGUAAUGGCUUUAAACGACCCGUCUUGAAACACGGACCAAGGAGUCUAACAUGCCUGCGAGUGNUGGGGGUGGAAA
RNAcentral lists this ribosomal RNA (690 nucleotides) under Scopuloides rimosa. Its description in RNAcentral is "partial large subunit ribosomal RNA". It matches the Rfam family "Eukaryotic large subunit ribosomal RNA", at positions 30 to 705 of the family's 3401-position model. The record is from RNAcentral. Lineage: Eukaryota; Fungi; Basidiomycota; Agaricomycetes; Polyporales; Meruliaceae.